RNAcentral lists this ribosomal RNA (326 nucleotides) under uncultured bacterium. Its description in RNAcentral is "bacterial SSU rRNA". It matches the Rfam family "Bacterial small subunit ribosomal RNA", at positions 28 to 334 of the family's 1533-position model. The record is from RNAcentral.
GAUGAACGCUGGCGGCGUGCUUAACACAUGCAAGUCGAACGAAGCACCUUAUUCUGAUUUCUUCGGAAUGAAAAAUUUGGUGACUGAGUGGCGGACGGGUGAGUAACGCGUGGGUAACCUGCCUCAUACAGGGGGAUAACAGUUAGAAAUGACUGCUAAUACCGCAUAAGACCACAGCACCGCAUGGUGCAGGGGUAAAAACUCCGGUGGUAUGAGAUGGACCCGCGUCUGAUUAGGUAGUUGGUGGGGUAACGGCCUACCAAGGCGACGAUCAGUAGCCGGCCUGAGAGGGUGAACGGCCACAUUGGGACUGAGACACGGCCCAA